UACGACUACAUAUCAGGCAUAUCAAUAAGCGGAGGAAAAGAAACUAACUAGGAUUCCCUCAGUAACGGCGAGUGAAGCGGGAAGAGCUCAAAUUUGAAAUCUUCAAGGUUUUACCUUGACGAAUUGUAGUUUAAAGAAGUGUUUUCUGUUGGAGUUUUGGUAAAAGUUCUUUGGAAUAGGACAUCAUAGAGGGUGAGAAUCCCGUAUUUGACCAUUAUUUCCAACUUUGUGAUACACUUUCAAAGAGUCGGAUUGUUUGGGAAUGCAGUCCAAAAUGGGUGGUAAAUUUCAUCUAAAGCUAAAUACUGGCGAGAGACCGAUAGCGAACAAGUACCGUGAGGGAAAGAUGAAAAGAACUUUGAAAAGAGAGUUAAACAGUACGUGAAAUUGUCAAAAGGGAAACGUUUGACACCAGUGUUGUUUUCUCGAAAAUCAAUUAAAAAUAAAUUUGAUUUUGUGUUGUAUUGACUUUAAUCAAGCUUUCUUCACUUUUUUCAUGUCUAUUUUUAAUGCACUUUUCGUUUAACAAGUCAACAUCAGUUUCUUUUGUUGUAAAAGGGUCAUUGGAAGGUGGCUUUCUUUUCGGAGAAAGUGUUUAUAGCCUUUGACUUCUGCAAUCGGAGAGAUUGAGGUCUGCAGCGUAGAUCCUUCUGGAUUAGAUACAUUUGUGCUAAGUUAUAGCCUUUCAUAGACAACUUGUUGACUAUGAUCUGUCAUGUAGCUUACUCGCUUAUGCUAUUUUACCUACGCUUAGGAUGUUGACGCGCGUGUGUGCGUG
RNAcentral lists this ribosomal RNA (778 nucleotides) under uncultured Neocallimastigales. Its description in RNAcentral is "partial large subunit ribosomal RNA". It matches the Rfam family "Eukaryotic large subunit ribosomal RNA", at positions 24 to 634 of the family's 3401-position model. Lineage: Eukaryota; Fungi; Neocallimastigomycota; Neocallimastigomycetes; Neocallimastigales. The record is from RNAcentral.